AUUGAACGCUGGCGGCAGGCCUAACACAUGCAAGUCGAACGGUAACAGGAAACAGCUUGCUGUUUCGCUGACGAGUGGCGGACGGGUGAGUAAUGUCUGGGAAACUGCCUGAUGGAGGGGGAUAACUACUGGAAACGGUAGCUAAUACCGCAUAACGUCGCAAGACCAAAGAGGGGGACCUUCGGGCCUCUUGCCAUCGGGUGUGCCCAGAUGGGAUUAGCUAGUAGGUGGGGUAACGGCUCACCUAGGCGACGAUCCCUAGCUGGUCUGAGAGGAUGACCAGCCACACUGGAACUGAGACACGGUCCAGACUCCUACGGGAGGCAGCAGUGGGGAAUAUUGCACAAUGGGCGCAAGCCUGAUGCAGCCAUGCCGCGUGUAUGAAGAAGGCCUUCGGGUUGUAAAGUACUUUCAGCGGGGAUGAAGGGAGUAAAGUUAAUACCUUUGCUCAUUGACGUUACCCGCAGAAGAAGCACCGGCUAACUCCGUG
This 490-nucleotide ribosomal RNA is filed under the name uncultured bacterium. RNAcentral describes it as "partial 16S ribosomal RNA". It matches the Rfam family "Bacterial small subunit ribosomal RNA", at positions 30 to 507 of the family's 1533-position model. The record is from RNAcentral.